CCUGGCGGCGAUAGCGCGGUGGUCCCACCUGACCCCAUGCCGAACUCAGCAGUGAAACGCCGUAGCGCCGAUGGUAGUGUGGGGUCUCCCCAUGCGAGAG
RNAcentral lists this ribosomal RNA (100 nucleotides) under Lonsdalea populi. The record is from RNAcentral. Lineage: Bacteria; Pseudomonadati; Pseudomonadota; Gammaproteobacteria; Enterobacterales; Pectobacteriaceae.